Molecule: long non-coding RNA, 1156 nt
Filed under: Strigops habroptila (Kakapo)
Lineage: Eukaryota; Metazoa; Chordata; Aves; Psittaciformes; Psittacidae
Description: lncRNA (ENSSHBG00005017504.1)
Source: RNAcentral
AAAACACAACAAGUAGUUAAUUUAUAAAGAACCUCUGAUGGCUUUCAAGUAGUCUGUUUAAAACAGGACGGCACUUCUGUCAAACCACUCCUAGUAGGACAGUUGUUCAGAUGACAGAAACUAUUUCUAUGAUUGAUACUAACUUUCUCCUUCCUGGCCACCUCCGCCAAGCAUGGAACAGCCCCAGAGACUGAGCAGCAGCUCCUUCUCCUGACAGUUACGCUUCCAGUUACUACAGGGCUGGAGAACAGAGCCAGCACGUUUUGGGGCACAUCAUGGUGGUUUGAGCAAGGCUGCUCAGAUGGAGGAGGAUUUCAGCUUGUCUUUAAGAUUGUCUUUAAAAUUCUCAUUAAAUUCUCUAUACAUGAGUUAAUGGAUCCAUUUUUAGGGCCUGUGCUACAGAGCAGUUCCCCUCCCUGCCUUGAAGACCCAUGAUGUUACAAACUUAAAGAAAUAAACACAUUGUUGGUGGGAGACUAUUAAAAUUUAAAAUGAGAAGGAAUUUCUAAGUGCAACAUCAGAACCGUUUGUCGGUUCAAAAUAAAAAAAAGGGCAUGAAAUCGCAAGAAAUAAAAAAGUGACUGAACUUCACAUAAAUUUGUAAUGAAAUAAUUUAAUUCACAAGUCAGGGGAAUCACUGUUUGAUUUCCAGUACUUCCAUUUCACACUGUCCUUUUAAGACUCAGAGGUUAUUAAAAAUAUGUAUUUCAUGAUUCAACUUGAAAGGCUCCUAAGAGAUGCUAUAAAAAUGCACACAGCUCAUUACAUAGGAAUUGUACUUGAAAAAGACAUAAAUGUAAGGGACAGCCACACAACCUACUUCAAGCAUUUAGCUCAGGUGCCUAAAAUGCAGUGCUCAGGGUGUUCAGUAUGGCAGUCCUGCCCCCUGACAUCUCCACAGGGCCACCAGCACUGGGUCCCAUCUCUGUCCUCCGUGCCCACCAGCGACGUGGGGCAGAGCUGAACUGCAUCCGCUCGCAACAGAGCUAACCUCCGUCAGCCCAAGCAUACACAUCCAAUGCCCGUUUUCAUGGUCUGAGUUGAAGAAAAUUAUUAGAAGAGCCAAAAAAUAUACAGGACCCCCUGUAUUUAUACCUGUAUUUAUGCCCUUACAUCCUCUAAGUUGGAGAAAAUUAUUAGAAGAGCCAGAAAAAUA